AGAAAGUAGUAUAAUGGAAGAACGAAGGGUUUUGAGCUCUUUGGUGUAGGUUCGAAUCCUGUUUUUCUA
Molecule: transfer RNA, 69 nt
Filed under: Janetaescincus sp. MCB-2011
Lineage: Eukaryota; Metazoa; Chordata; Lepidosauria; Squamata; Scincidae
Description: partial tRNA-Gln
Rfam family: tRNA
About the family: Transfer RNA (tRNA) molecules are approximately 80 nucleotides in length.
Source: RNAcentral